AGUCGCCAGAGCUGUCAUACCUCUUUUUUCUCGAACGGGGAAUAUGGGAAGUUUUUCCAAUUUAAGUGACAUGAAUCGAAAUGGGAUUAUUUAUUUAUUUCAGAGUCGUCACUUGGAAUAAUUUAUGGUGUCCCAAGUCACCGGUUUAUUUUAAAUCCCAAAUCGAGGAAAUUGACUCUUAUUUAUGGUCUGCGAACACAGAAGACCGGGUAAGGAAUUCUGUUAACCCGGGAGAAGGUGUGAGGCACUCCCGAGUUCCGUGAUUUUAGCACGGUCACUCAACUAUUAAUAAUUGGCCUAAUUAUCUGAUUUAUUACAUGUUUUAAAAUCUAUUGCGCAUUUUUACUUUUUAACCGCUUUUAAUUAUUUAUGAAAUUAUUUUUGAAACAAGUCACGAUGUCGUACACUUGUCAUUUUGGCACACACCGCAAACCGCGCCACAUGAAAUGCACCCGCGAUUUACGACAUGCUUAUUUUUAUUAUUGUUUGAAGUUAUGAUCGGUCCACAUGAAAUUCGAAAGAAGGACUUCUACAUAAGAAAGAAAAAAUAUUUUUUGGCUUUUGAUGUUUUUUUUUGGAUUUUUGGGAGAAAGUCUUUCUAAAAAAAAGGUAGAAAAAUUGUUUUUGGAUUUUGAUUUCAUUUGUUUUAUUUUUCUAAUGAAAGACUCCUACAAAUAAAAUAUUUUUUGGUUUAAACUUUUUUUUAAAUUUUUUUUUAUUUGUUUGGGAUUUUGUUUUUUUAAAAAAAGACUACUAAAAGAAGGAAUUAAAGAAAAUAUUUUUGGAUUUUUUUAAAAAAAAUGGGGUCUCAAAGAAAGAUUUUCUGAAAAAGGAAAUAAAGGAAAAUAUUUUUAGAUUUUUGAAAAUUAGGGUCUAAAAGAAAGACUUUCUAAAGAGGAGAUAAAGAAAAAUAUUUUUGGAUUUUUGAAAAUUGUGGGCCGGAACCGAUGAGGUUUGCCUACGUAUCUCACACCCGGUGAGAAUCAGACCCGCGUAGUUCUGCUAGUUUUGACGGAACAAGGGAAACAAUGACUUUUGAAAGCAUUGGCUUAUUUUCUCUCCUUUUUUUUUCAAAAUUUCCACAGAGUUUCGAAAUGUUUCAAAUACCUACCUCACUCUUUUUUUUUUCUUGAUUUUCUUUUCCUAUUCUAGAAAUCGGUCAACAUACAAGCCGAAGCAAAUAAGUAGCACGUAAAAUGCAUCAAGAUGGUCUUUUAAUUUUUGGGUACACCUGUCCUAGAUGGACCCAACCCCUGUGUUGAGUCCCUAAGGUCAAAUGCACGUGAUGCAGACAAACGUUCCUACUAGGGAUCCAGCAUGAGGCUAUAUUAUUCUAAGAUUGAAUCCUGAAGUGUGUUGCUCUAGACCUGGCUCACCCGAGCGGACAACUCGAGCCGGGGGGAGGCAACGUACCGGUAACCAAAAGGCCAUCCGGCUUUGUAACUGAUCCGAUCCUAGUUCUAAAUUAGGAUAUGACACUAACAGAAAAGAAGUCACGCCAGUGUGCACUUCCCAGAAGAUUUAGAAGACUCAGAGAGGAGAAUGGUUUCGUGACAGUUUAUAUAUAGUCCAAACAAUAUCAAAGCAGUAAAAGUAGGCAUUUAGCACAUUAGGCUCAAACACGUAAAAAAUUAGAUAAUAAGUAAAAGCCAAGUAUAACAGUCAUCUAAGCUCGAAUUCUGAACCCUGAACCAGAGAUUCUGGGUUCGUUCCCCAGCAGAGUCGCCAGAGCUAUCACACCUCCUUUUUUCCGAACGGGGAUAUUAGGGGGAGUUUUUUCAAUUAAAGUGACAAUAUCCGAGAUGGGAUUAUUUAUUAAAUUCAGAGUCGCCACUUGGAAUAAGUUAUGGUGUCCCAAGUUACCGGUUUAUUUUAAAUCCCAAAUCGAGGAAAUUUGACUCUAUUUAUGGUCCGCGAACACAGAAGACUGGGUAAGAAAUUCUGUUAACCCGGGAGAAGGUGUGAGGCACUCCCGAGUUCUGUGGUUUUAGCACGGUC
RNAcentral lists this long non-coding RNA (1998 nucleotides) under Nicotiana tabacum (common tobacco). RNAcentral describes it as "long non-coding RNA (NTAB_LNC018521)". Lineage: Eukaryota; Viridiplantae; Streptophyta; Magnoliopsida; Solanales; Solanaceae. The record is from RNAcentral.